CGGCUCACCAAGGCGACGAUCCCUAGCUGGUCUGAGAGGAUGACCAGCCACACUGGAACUGAGACACGGUCCAGACUCCUACGGGAGGCAGCAGUGGGGAAUAUUGCACAAUGGGCGCAAGCCUGAUGCAGCCAUGCCGCGUGUAUGAAGAAGGCCUUCGGGUUGUAAAGUACUUUCAGCGGGGAGGAAGGGAGUAAAGUUAAUACCUUUGCUCAUUGACGUUACCCGCAGAAGAAGCACCGGCUAACUCCGUGCCAGCAGCCGCGGUAAUACGGAGGGUGCAAGCGUUAAUCGGAAUUACUGGGCGUAAAGCGCACGCAGGCGGUUUGUUAAGUCAGAUGUGAAAUCCCCGGGCUCAACCUGGGAACUGCAUCUGAUACUGGCAAGCUUGAGUCUCGUAGAGGGGGGUAGAAUUCCAGGUGUAGCGGUGAAAUGCGUAGAGAUCUGGAGGAAUACCGGUGGCGAAGGCGGCCCCCUGG
This 479-nucleotide ribosomal RNA is filed under the name Shigella flexneri. RNAcentral's name for it is "bacterial SSU rRNA". It matches the Rfam family "Bacterial small subunit ribosomal RNA", at positions 261 to 732 of the family's 1533-position model. The record is from RNAcentral. Lineage: Bacteria; Pseudomonadati; Pseudomonadota; Gammaproteobacteria; Enterobacterales; Enterobacteriaceae.